GUCAGUGUGGUGUAGUGGUUUCAGCGUUGGACUAUGACUCUGGAGACCAGGGUUUGGAUCCCUGCUCAAUCA
Molecule: non-coding RNA, 72 nt
Organism: Phrynosoma platyrhinos (Desert horned lizard)
Lineage: Eukaryota; Metazoa; Chordata; Lepidosauria; Squamata; Phrynosomatidae
Source: the annotation of a GenBank genome assembly